RNAcentral lists this unclassified non-coding RNA (629 nucleotides) under Hevea brasiliensis (rubber tree). Lineage: Eukaryota; Viridiplantae; Streptophyta; Magnoliopsida; Malpighiales; Euphorbiaceae. The record is from RNAcentral.
CGAAAACCCUCUCCCUUCCUCGUCUUUCUUCUCGCCACUUCUCACUUUCUCUCGACGCUAACUAGCGUCACUUGCAAGCGGCGAAACAACUAAGAGCAGCCAAGAAAAAGAGAUAAACAGAUACAGAGCAAAUAAUCAGAAUUCUAAGUCCUACAUGGAUCCAGACGCGGUGGCCAAGGCGUUUGUCGAGCACUACUACACCACUUUCGAUGCGAAUCGGGCGGGUUUGGCCAAUCUCUACCAAGACGGAUCGAUGCUCACCUUCGAGGGGCAGAAGAUCCAGGGCGCCCAAAACAUCGUCGCUAAGCUUACUAGCCUUCCCUUCCAGCAGUGCCAGCACAGCAUCACCACCGUCGAUUGUCAGCCCUCGGGCCCUGCCGGUGGCAUGCUCGUCUUUGUCUCCGGCAACCUCCAGCUCACCGGCGAACAACAUGCUCUCAAGUUCAGCCAGAUGUUCCAUUUGAUGCCAACGCCACAGGGGAGCUUUUACGUGUUCAAUGACAUUUUCCGGUUGAACUAUGCAUGAAGACAAAGAUCAACCACUCAAGUCUUUGUGGUUCAAAUGUUCAGGGUUAAACAACUUUGCUUAUCUCAGUCUGGCUUUAGACGUUUUAUAUUUAAACUGCGAU